Non-coding RNA from Lineolata rhizophorae, 98 nucleotides. NCBI's taxonomy places the organism in Eukaryota, Fungi, Ascomycota, Dothideomycetes, Lineolatales, Lineolataceae. The record is from the annotation of a GenBank genome assembly.
GGCCUGGUGGUCUAGUGGUAUGAUUCUCGCUUAGGGUAAACCCUGAGUUGCAAUUUGCUGUCUGCGAGAGGUCCCGGGUUCGAGUCCCGGCUAGGCCC